This 1636-nucleotide unclassified non-coding RNA is filed under the name Leishmania donovani. RNAcentral describes it as "gene:LdHU3.34.5750(CDS-product:Protein_of_unknown _function_(DUF501)_putative)". Lineage: Eukaryota; Euglenozoa; Kinetoplastea; Trypanosomatida; Trypanosomatidae. The record is from RNAcentral.
CGCCUAGCAUAGGUGUGCCGAUAAGGAUUCCUGUCGCUGAGGUGGCGUCUCUCUCCGUCGCUCUCUUUCUCACUUGUCGGAGGCGGGUGCAUUCAUGUGAGCGCCUCUCUCUGUGACCUCUCUCUGAUGUCGGAGGAGAAAAGGACGACGAGUGCCGCCCCUGAGGCGAAGUAUAAUGCUUACGCUGAGGCGGCAGAUCCGGACCGCUAUCGUGUCGCUGACGCUCUGCUUUUCACGUGCGCGGAGCACGGUAAGGCGUGCGUUCUGUGCGUCACAGCCGGCAAGAAUGGCCGCAACGGACGCACAGCUGCCGUUGGCGCCACGAUUUUCUGGUUGACUUGCCCGAAUCUGAACGCCAUCAUAGCGAGAUUUGAGGGCCACCGAUGCGUCCGGGCGGUGUCAGCGGCGAUGGCGCAGCAGCCGUGUCUCUGUGACUGGCACGUGCAGUCGCACGACGUGUACGCGAGUCGCGCCAGGGAACUUCUCUCGCCGGCACAGUGGUGUUUUUUCGAGGCCCACUUUCUCUCCGACGAUCAGCCGUCCCUGCACAAGUACGGCAAUGCCGCGGUGAGCCAUGCUGCGGGCAUGAAGUGUCUGCACGCCCUCGUCGCCCAGACCCUGGCGGGUGUGGCGAACCCCGUUGGCUCGGUUGUGGUCAACUACAUCCUCUUGCAGCAUCAGCUCGUCCGUGAGGCGGCCGAAAUGGGAAACACUGAGCAACACGGAGUCGAAGAGAGGCGGCUCUCGAUGAAGGCCACGUUGGACAGCACACGUUUGUUUUCGGACUUCAUGACGGCUUUUGUGAGGGCAGCGUCGGAGCGGGCUUGUGAGGGCUGGCAUGGCCUCCGCAACGUGUCCUUCGAAGUCCCACUUCCUGAAGGCAACAUGUGGGGCAAGACAGCCGUGCAAUACAUGUGGCGGGCCGAUUCUCAGCUAGCGGCUCUCUGCCCCGAUCUCUGCGCGCGGGCGCUGACGGUGCUCGUUGCGUUGGAAGGACAGUUGCGGCAUCGGCACAAGAAGCACCGCAUCAACUGAGACUGCGGGCACCCCGCACACGCGUCGUGGACCCUGCCAACGGGCAGGCGGCAUCGCAUUUCGCAAAGCUUUCUCUUGUCCUCGACACGCUUUUUUUUUUGACCUGUGUACUGGCAGCUGACAUGCCGAAAGGCGCUCCUUCAACCACGCUGGUGCUGCUGCCGGCGCAUCCACCUCAAAUGAGCGUCCGUUACCCCGUCUGGUGGUAAACAAAUCUGCCUACUAAUCGGGGCGUUGAGAGGCCGGUGUAGGCGUCGUGGUCGAAGGAGGAGAAUGGGCAAGGGGCGAGCGCGCGGCACUGAACGAGCAACGAAAGAAGUUGAACAUCGUUCCCCUUCUGCGCUCUUUCUCCGAGGUUUACUUUCAUGCACUUGCAGGUACAGCGCCGGCGGCGUGCGACCCGCCGCACGACAUUCCACGCCAUUGCCGUGCCACGAGGUGUCUCAGACAAAGAAGUCGCAGUUAGAGGUCCCAAGUACAAGGGCGAUGGGUGCGGCGAUGGCCGAAGCAGCGACACUUCCAUCAGUAACCGGGCAGAUGCGUGCGCCGGCGAAACUGUCACCCUCAGCCCUCCUCCCUCUGCUUUCCCGAGCCGCACCAG